GGGACUUAAAGCAAGAUAACCUUCACGAGGUAAGUUUCGUAAGUACCAUUGAAGAAUGGGAAACUAAUAAUCUUG
RNAcentral lists this non-coding RNA (75 nucleotides) under unclassified sequences. The record is from RNAcentral.